UCCUCCUACAAAGGCAUGUCAGUGAUUUUCUGUCCUUGGACACACAAGAAUUGGAGGUAGAGAGAUGUGGGCUUGAAGAAGUCUGGAGCAGCUUGCUCCCUGCAGGCUCAAGGUCAUCCUUUCCCACACAG
RNAcentral lists this small nucleolar RNA (131 nucleotides) under Dasypus novemcinctus (nine-banded armadillo). Its description in RNAcentral is "Small nucleolar RNA SNORA38 (ENSDNOG00000036527.1)". It matches the Rfam family "Small nucleolar RNA SNORA38". From Rfam's summary of the family: ACA38 is a member of the H/ACA class of snoRNA that guide the sites of modification of uridines to pseudouridines. The record is from RNAcentral. Lineage: Eukaryota; Metazoa; Chordata; Mammalia; Cingulata; Dasypodidae.